Molecule: ribosomal RNA, 465 nt
Filed under: uncultured bacterium
Lineage: Bacteria
Description: partial 16S ribosomal RNA
Rfam family: Bacterial small subunit ribosomal RNA
Source: RNAcentral
GACGAACGCUGGCGGCGUGCUUAACACAUGCAAGUCGAACGGAAAGGCCCCUUUGGGGGUACUCGAGUGGCGAACGGGUGAGUAACACGUGAGUAACCUGCCCUUGACUUCGGGAUAACUUCAGGAAACUGGGGCUAAUACCGGAUAGGAAUCCUUGCUGCAUGGUGGGGGUUGGAAAGCUUCGGCGGUUUUGGAUGGACUCGCGGCUUAUCAGCUUGUUGGUGGGGUAGUGGCUUACCAAGGCUUUGACGGGUAGCCGGCCUGAGAGGGCGACCGGCCACAUUGGGACUGAGAUACGGCCCAGACUCCUACGGGAGGCAGCAGUGGGGAAUAUUGCACAAUGGGCGGAAGCCUGAAGCAGCAACGCCGCGUGCGGGAUGACGGCCUUCGGGUUGUAAACCGCUUUUAGCAGGGGCGAAGCUUGUGGUGACGGUACCUGCAGAAGAAGCACCGGCUAACUACGUG